Molecule: non-coding RNA, 75 nt
Filed under: Pygmaiobacter massiliensis
Lineage: Bacteria; Bacillati; Bacillota; Clostridia; Eubacteriales; Oscillospiraceae
Description: Fluoride riboswitch
Rfam family: Fluoride riboswitch aptamer (crcB RNA motif)
Source: RNAcentral
GUAACCGGGAAUGAAGUUCUCCCUUGGCUUUGCCAAAACCGCUGACAAUAAUAAACAGCUGAUGACUUCUGCGUU